GGCAUGAGGUAGGAAGCAGUGUCCAGCAGAUGUACUGCACGUCCUGCAUGGUCUCCUCAGGACAGCCUCCUCAGAGCAGUGACAGCAGUGCUGCUUCCACUUGCUUCCCUCUUCUCAUCUCUUCAUCACAAACUUAUGCUUGCAGGCCGCCUGGGACAGCAGAGAUGUUUUAUCUACAAGGACAAAUUGCUGCAUAAAGUUACAGUGCUACAUGAAGAGAACAACCACCCUAACGGCACUGCAACCUGAUGGACAUGAUUAUGCCAGGGAGAAGAAGGUUAAAGAAAACAAAGAAAUGCCAGGCUGAUGUGGAGAAGGGCAGGAAAAAAUUGCCUCCCAGAUGAAAUAUAUGGCAAGAAGAACUAUAUUUCCAAACCAUUUCAAGGAAAUAAUUUUUUCAGUUAUUUGUCACUCUGCUGCACAAAAUGAUCAGACACACUGUCCAAUCAACAGCAAACCAGAAACGA
Molecule: long non-coding RNA, 467 nt
Organism: Myiozetetes cayanensis
Lineage: Eukaryota; Metazoa; Chordata; Aves; Passeriformes; Tyrannidae
Exons: 3
Source: RefSeq, a predicted model, not a curated record